AUGUCCCUGCAUUUAGGCAAGGAAGUGUUCGAUAUCUACAAAGCCCCCCUGCAGGACAAUCUAAACCAACUGUUUAUACGGGAAGACACUGGGCUCCGAGGACAGGCCAUCUUUAAAUCCAAACUUACCUUUAGACCUCACUGUACAGACGGUGCCACAUAUAAAAAGAUGACCCUUUCAUUUGGGACCAGAAGUUCAAAGACACAGAUUAGAAUCCUCCCGAUGGCUGGUCGAGAUCCUGAAUGGCCAUGCCCAGAUUUGAUCAAGGUAUAGUGCCUCAGCCUUAAGUUGGAACAAUUUGUACAUUUAGGGCUGAUUUCCUGAAGUGUAAAAGACUAUUACUCCCUCCUCCAUGUGUGUGUGUGUGUGUGUGUGUGUGUGUGUGUGUGUGUGUGAGAGAGAGAGAGAGAGAGAGAGAGAUGUGUAGACGUGUGCAUCCAUAAUGAGUGCAGAGGACAAUUUUCAGGAGUUUGUUAUUUCCUUCAUUGUGGGCCCUGGGGGUUGAAUUCAGGUGGUCAGACUAAUGCAGCAAGUUUUGACCCAUGGAGACGUCUUGAUGGCCUAUUAUUAUGUCUGUUAUCAUUAUCAUUAUUGUUAUUAUUGUUGCUAUUUUAAUUGUUGCAAUUACUGGGGAGCCAGCUUGCUCUCCUGCCUAUAGUCACCACUAGCAAUGACUGCAGUGGGAUUACAGAUAACUUCACUCUCAUCUCCAGGUGACUCCACAGAAAACGUAACGUUAGAAAACUGCCUUAGAAAAAAGUACAGCCAAGUUCAGUAGGAGAGUGUUUUCCCUUGAAUGCAGACAGCCUUGGAUUUGAUUCCUGGUGCCACAAGAAGUAAAAGGAAAUAAAAUAGGAAGGAAAUAAAAAAGAGAGGACUAUAGAACCCUCGGCCCUGUUACGCUGGCUCGGCUCUUUUAGCUCCUGAGUGUGGCAGGCCGGGCAGGUCUAAGAAGAUGGCCGCCUCCUCAGCCUGCUGUGGAAGCUGGGAUGUAGUAUUUGCAUUGAAGGCUACACCAGGAAUGUCUGGGAGGCAUGGGAGCCUGGUCCAGCCUCAGCAGCCAGGCGUCUGCCACUUAGGGGUGAAGCACAGGCAGCUUUUACUGCCCCAGACGGUCACAUCAGAAGGGGCUUCUCAGGCUGCCACUUCUGAGCUGUGUGACAUCAUCAGAUGUACACAGCUCCCAGGUGCACACACACACACACACA
Molecule: long non-coding RNA, 1208 nt
Filed under: Rattus norvegicus (Norway rat)
Lineage: Eukaryota; Metazoa; Chordata; Mammalia; Rodentia; Muridae
Description: long non-coding RNA NONRATT033615
Source: RNAcentral